UACGUAGGGGGCGAGCGUUGUCCGGAGUUACUGGGCGUAAAGGGCGCGCAGGCGGUCUGCUAAGUUCGGAGUGACAGUCACCAGCUUAACUGGUGAAGGUCUUUGAAAACUGGCGGACUUGAGAGCGAAAGAGGGAUACGGAAUUCCGGGUGGAGCAGUGAAAUGCGUAGAGAUCCGGAGGAACACCGAAGGCGAAGGCAGUGUCCUGGGUCGCAUCUGACGCUGAGGCGCGAAAACCAGGGGAG
Molecule: ribosomal RNA, 245 nt
Filed under: uncultured bacterium
Lineage: Bacteria
Description: partial 16S ribosomal RNA
Rfam family: Bacterial small subunit ribosomal RNA
Source: RNAcentral